UCCCUGGUGGCUCAGACGGUAAAGCGUCUGCCUGCAAUGCAGGAGACUCGGGUCCGAUCCCUGGGUUGGGAA
Bos taurus (domestic cattle) is the source of this 72-nucleotide non-coding RNA. NCBI's taxonomy places the organism in Eukaryota, Metazoa, Chordata, Mammalia, Artiodactyla, Bovidae. The record is from Rfam.